Molecule: ribosomal RNA, 778 nt
Filed under: uncultured bacterium
Lineage: Bacteria
Description: bacterial SSU rRNA
Rfam family: Bacterial small subunit ribosomal RNA
Source: RNAcentral
GUUGAGCGGAGAUAUAUGGAGCUUGCUUUAUAUAACUUAGCAGCGAACGGGUGAGUAACACGUAGAUAAUCUAUCCUAUACUGGGGGAUAGCCCGAUGAAAGUUGGAUUAAUACCGCAUAUAGCUAUAUAGUUGCAUGAUUAUGUAGUGAAAGAUUUAUUGGUAUAGGAGGAGUCUGCGGCACAUUAGCUAGUAGGUGAGGUAAAGGCUUACCUAGGCGACGAUGUGUAGCCGGUCUGAGAGGAUGAACGGCCACAAUGGAACUGAGACACGGUCCAUACUCCUACGGGAGGCAGCAGUGGGGAAUAUUGCACAAUGGGGGAAACCCUGAUGCAGCAACGCCGCGUGAGUGAAGAAGGUUUUCGGAUUGUAAAGCUCUGUUAGCAGGGAAGAGGAAGGACGGUACCUGCAGAGGAAGCCACGGCUAACUACGUGCCAGCAGCCGCGGUAAUACGUAGGUGGCAAGCGUUGUUCGGAAUAACUGGGCGUAAAGGAUGCGUAGGCGGUUAAACAAGUUAUAUGUUAAAUAUAUAGGCUUAACCUGUAGAAAGCAUAUAAAACUGUUUAACUAGAGUGCAGGAGAGGUAAGUGGAAUUCCUAGUGUAGCGGUGAAAUGCGUAGAGAUUAGGAAGAACACCAAUGGCGAAGGCGACUUACUGGACUGUAACUGACGCUGAGGCAUGAGAGCAUGGGGAGCAAACAGGAUUAGAUACCCUGGUAGUCCAUGCUGUAAACGAUGGGUACUAGGUGUGGGUUGUGAAAUAAACAAUUCGUGCCGU